UGGGGAAUCUUGCGCAAUGGGCGAAAGCCUGACGCAGCAACGCCGCGUGAGGGAUGAAGGUCUUCGGGUUGUAAACCUCUUUCAAGCAGGGACGAUAAUGACGGUACCUGCAGAAGAAGCUCCGGCCAACUACGUGCCAGCAGCCGCGGUAAUACGUAGGGAGCGAGCGUUGUCCGGAUUCAUUGGGCGUAAAGAGCUCGUAGGUGGCUUGGUAAGUCGGGUGUGAAACCUCUAGGCUCAACCUAGAGAUGCCACUCGAUACUGCCAUAGCUAGAGUCCGGUAGGGGCCCACGGAAUUCCUGGUGUAGCGGUGAAAUGCGCAGAUAUCAGGAGGAACACCGGUGGCGAAGGCGGUGGGCUGGGCCGGCACUGACACUGAGGAGCGAAAGCGUGGGGAGCGAACAGGAUUAGAUACCCCUGUAGUCC
This 426-nucleotide ribosomal RNA is filed under the name uncultured bacterium. Its description in RNAcentral is "bacterial SSU rRNA". It matches the Rfam family "Bacterial small subunit ribosomal RNA", at positions 355 to 796 of the family's 1533-position model. The record is from RNAcentral.